RNAcentral lists this ribosomal RNA (253 nucleotides) under uncultured bacterium. RNAcentral's name for it is "partial 16S ribosomal RNA". It matches the Rfam family "Bacterial small subunit ribosomal RNA", at positions 524 to 776 of the family's 1533-position model. The record is from RNAcentral.
UACAGAGGUCUCAAGCGUUGUUCGGAUUUAUUGGGCGUAAAGAGCGUGUAGGCGGCCAGACAGGUCAGCUGUGAAAACUCGAGGCUCAACCUCGAGACGUCGGUUGAAACCGUCUGGCUAGAGUCCGGAAGAGGAGAGUGGAAUUCCCGGUGUAGCGGUGAAAUGCGCAGAUAUCGGGAAGAACACCCGUGGCGAAGGCGGCUCUCUGGGACGGUACUGACGCUGAGACGCGAAAGCGUGGGGAGCGAACAGG